Pelobates cultripes (western spadefoot toad) is the source of this 157-nucleotide non-coding RNA. Lineage: Eukaryota; Metazoa; Chordata; Amphibia; Anura; Pelobatidae. The record is from the annotation of a GenBank genome assembly.
GCAGACACAUUCCAGCCAAUCAGCAGCAGACCCUCUGUCCCAGACCCUCCCACCUCAUGGACAGCUUACUAAGAAUGCAGCUUCACAAUGGAUGCUGUCCAGGAGGUGGGAGGGUCUAGGAGGGAGGGUCUGCUGCUGAUUGGCUGGAAUGUGUCUG